Molecule: long non-coding RNA, 1315 nt
Filed under: Panthera leo (lion)
Lineage: Eukaryota; Metazoa; Chordata; Mammalia; Carnivora; Felidae
Description: lncRNA (ENSPLOG00000017512.1)
Source: RNAcentral
GGGAGGAGGAACAGGGGGUCAGUGUUCACCGGGGACAUUGUUUCUGGGUGAGAUGAUGAAAAAAUUCUGGAAACAGACAAUGGUUAUGGCUGCACGACACUGUGAAUGUAUUUAAUGAAACUGAGUAAUACAUUUAAAAUGGCUAAAAGGGUAAGCUUUAUGUUAUUUCCAUACAUUUAACCACAAUAAGUUAAUGUUUUUUGUUUUGUUUUGUUUUGUUCUUAAUGGUCUUGUCCGGAUUGUUGCAACAGGUUCCUACCUGGUAUCCCAGCUUCCAGCUCACCCUCUCCAACCCCUUUUGAAACGUCCACUAGGGGGCGCUCUCUUUCCACUCCUCUGGGUCUCCAGCAGCCUUCUUCUGCCUCCUCUCCACCACUCUCCAGGUAACCGCCCCCCCUCGCAGCUCCUGGAAAACCCCCUGUUCUCCUAUGCCUCUUGAUGUACGCACGUGCCAUUCCCCUCACCUGAUUCCCUUCUUCUUAGCUAAUUCCCUCCUCCAUGGAGUCUGGCUCGGACUUUCUUCUGAAUUCCUCCAGACGGUAUGAUACCUCCCUCCUCUGCACUCACCAAAGCAGCCCGUGCUCACCCAAAACCAGUCUCUUUACAGUGGCCAUCAAGGUGGUGUGACCUGACUCCUGCCAGCUCCCUCAUUCCUCACUGUCCGCUCCAGUACCAAUGCCAUCAGCAUCAUUAUUAUCAUUAGAAUUAGUAUUAUUAGUUAAUAUUAGUAGUAGUAGGAUUAGUAUUAUUAAACAUGAUAAGCCCCAGGAUCUUUGCACUUGCCCUUUCCUCUGCCUGACACUUGCCCUGAUUCUUCCACAUGGCUAGGUGCUCCCCCUUCAAGUCCCCAGCUCAUGUCACCUCCUCAGAGAAGCCCUCCCUAACCCCCAUUAGGAAAUAAUCCCCCAACCAGUCUUGACUCCCAACACCCUAUUUUAUUUUCUUCAUAGCACUUGGUACUUGGUCUUUCUCUUUUGAGUCUGGCUCCUUGUUUAAUGUCUGUCUUCUCACACUAAAGUAUGAGCUCCAGGGGGAGUGUGGCGGGCGGGGGGGGGGGGGGGGGGGGGCCGGGGGGGCUCCUCGGUUAAGUGUCUGACUUCGGCUCAGGUCAUGAUCUCACAGUUCAUGAGUUCGAGCCCCGCGUCGGGCUCUAUGCUGACAGCUAAGAGCCUGAAGCCUGCCUUGGAUUCUGUGUCUCCCUCUCUAUGCCCCUCCCCUGCUCAUGCUCUGUCUUUCUCUCUCUCAAAAAUGAAUAAACUUAAAAAGGAAUUAAAGUAUGGGCUCUGGGAGGGCAGGAGCCACCUAUGUCUUGUUC